RNAcentral lists this ribosomal RNA (469 nucleotides) under uncultured bacterium. RNAcentral describes it as "partial 16S ribosomal RNA". It matches the Rfam family "Bacterial small subunit ribosomal RNA", at positions 28 to 507 of the family's 1533-position model. The record is from RNAcentral.
GAUGAACGCUGGCGGCGUGCUUAACACAUGCGAGUCGAACGGUGAACACGGAGCUUGCUCUGUGGGAUCAGUGGCGAACGGGUGAGUAACACGUGAGCAACCUGCCCCUGACUCUGGGAUAAGCGCUGGAAACGGCGUCUAAUACUGGAUAUGUGACGUGACCGCAUGGUCUGCGUUUGGAAAGAUUUUUCGGUUGGGGAUGGGCUCGCGGCCUAUCAGCUUGUUGGUGAGGUAAUGGCUCACCAAGGCGUCGACGGGUAGCCGGCCUGAGAGGGUGACCGGCCACACUGGGACUGAGACACGGCCCAGACUCCUACGGGAGGCAGCAGUGGGGAAUAUUGCACAAUGGGCGCAAGCCUGAUGCAGCAACGCCGCGUGAGGGAUGACGGCCUUCGGGUUGUAAACCUCUUUUAGCAGGGAAGAAGCGAAAGUGACGGUACCCGCAGAAAAAGCGCCGGCUAACUACGUG